Molecule: ribosomal RNA, 274 nt
Filed under: Hygrotus versicolor
Lineage: Eukaryota; Metazoa; Arthropoda; Insecta; Coleoptera; Dytiscidae
Description: partial 28S ribosomal RNA
Rfam family: Eukaryotic large subunit ribosomal RNA
Source: RNAcentral
GAACUGGGUAUAGGGGCGAAAGACUAAUCGAACCAUCUAGUAGCUGGUUCCCUCCGAAGUUUCCCUCAGGAUAGCUGGCACUCGGGAGAACCGCGCUCAUCGCGCAAUAGCACGAGUCUCAUCCGGUAAAGCGAAUGAUUAGAGGCAUUGGGGUCGAAACGGCCUCAACCUAUUCUCAAACUUUAAAUGGGUGAGAUCUCCGGCUUGCUUGAAAAGCUCGGGUGAAGCCGGAGAUCGGAUCAACGGGUGCCAAGUGGGCCACUUUUGGUAAGCA